RNAcentral lists this ribosomal RNA (420 nucleotides) under uncultured bacterium. RNAcentral describes it as "bacterial SSU rRNA". It matches the Rfam family "Bacterial small subunit ribosomal RNA", at positions 356 to 774 of the family's 1533-position model. The record is from RNAcentral.
AAGGAAUAUUGGUCAAUGGACGCAAGUCUGAACCAGCCAUGCCGCGUGAAGGAUGAAGGUCCUCUGGAUUGUAAACUUCUUUUAUCUGGGACGAAAACGGGAUUUUUAUCUCAAUUGACGGUACCAGAGGAAUAAGCACCGGCUAACUCCGUGCCUGCAGCCGCGGUAAUACGGAGGGUGCGAGCGUUAUCCGGAUUUACUGGGUUUCAAGGGUGCGUAGGUGGGCUUAUAAGUCAGUGGUGAAAUCUCCGAGCUUAACUUGGAAACUGCCGUUGAUACUAUAGGUCUUGAAUUAUCUGGAGGUAAGCGGAAUAUGUCAUGUAGCGGUGAAAUGCUUAGAUAUGAAAUAGAACACCAAUUGCGAAGGAAGCUUACUACAUAUAAAUUGACGCUGAGGCACGAAAGCGUGGGGAUCAAACA